ACUAAUAGUUAAGUUCUUUAAACCCAAAGAAUUUGGCGGUAUUUCAUUCCGUUCAGAGGAACCUAUCUUGUAAUUGAUAGUACACGAUUUACUUUACUUAAUUUAUUUGUUUGUAUAUCUCCGUUAUCAGAAAAUCUUUUUGGAGUUAUAAUUUUCUUGUUUUUUUAUUGAGAAUUAUUUCAGGUCAAGGUGCAGCUUAUAAUUAAGUUUUUGACGGGUUACAAUAAUUUUUUAUUAUAUGGAUUUUUUUUUGUAAUAUAUUAAUGAAGGUGGAUUUGAAGGUAAUUUGAUUUAUUUAAUU
RNAcentral lists this ribosomal RNA (301 nucleotides) under Oedipoda caerulescens. RNAcentral's name for it is "partial 12S ribosomal RNA". The record is from RNAcentral. Lineage: Eukaryota; Metazoa; Arthropoda; Insecta; Orthoptera; Acrididae.